RNAcentral lists this unclassified non-coding RNA (267 nucleotides) under fungal sp. RNAcentral's name for it is "partial internal transcribed spacer region". The stretch from base 1 to 46 matches the Rfam family "Eukaryotic small subunit ribosomal RNA", at positions 1786 to 1831 of the family's 1831-position model. The record is from RNAcentral. Lineage: Eukaryota; Fungi.
AAGUCUUAACAAGGUAACCGUAGGUGAACCUGCGGUUGGAUCAUUAGAAAAUGAUAACUUGUCAGUUUAAGUGGUCUUCGUGAUCCUUGCUGAUGGGUAACCACCACUGUGCACUAUGAUAGUAUCUGGGCUAAGCUCUUUCUGCAUUGACUUUGGUUAAUAUAGACGGAACGAAGCCCGACCAUUUCAACAAACCUCUAUAUUUUGACUGACUUUUGUAUUCUAACGAAUCAAAAACAACUUUUAACAACGGAUCUCUUGGCUCUC